UACGUAGGAUGCAAGCGUUGUCCGGAAUUACUGGGCGUAAAGGGCGAGCAGGUGGCACUACAAGUCUGAUGUAAAAUCUCCCGGCUUAACUGGGAGGGGCCAUUGGAAACUCCCUUUCUUGAGUGUCGGAGAGGAAAGUGGAAUUCCUGGUGUAGAGGUGAAAUUCGUAGAUAUCAGGAGGAACACCGGUGGCGAAGGCGACACGCUGGGCCGUACCUGACACUGAUGCGCGACAGCAUGGGGAGCAAACAGG
This 253-nucleotide ribosomal RNA is filed under the name uncultured bacterium. RNAcentral's name for it is "partial 16S ribosomal RNA". It matches the Rfam family "Bacterial small subunit ribosomal RNA", at positions 524 to 776 of the family's 1533-position model. The record is from RNAcentral.